RNAcentral lists this ribosomal RNA (433 nucleotides) under uncultured bacterium. RNAcentral describes it as "partial 16S ribosomal RNA". It matches the Rfam family "Bacterial small subunit ribosomal RNA", at positions 29 to 507 of the family's 1533-position model. The record is from RNAcentral.
AACGAACGCUGGCGGCAUGCCUAACACAUGCAAGUCGAACGAGACCUUCGGGUGUAGUGGCGCAUGGGUGCGUAACGCGGGGGAACCGGCCCGUAGGCUCGGAAUAACACUCCGAAAGGGGCGCUAAUACCGGAUAAUGUCUUCGGACCAAAGAUUUAUCGCCUUUGGAUGGGCCCGCGUUGGUUUAGCCAGUUGGUAGUGUAAAAGCCUACCAAGGCGACGAUCCAUAGCUGGUCUGAGAGGAUGGGCCGCCACACUGGGACUGAGACACGGCCCAGACUCCUACGCGAUGCGGCAGUGGGGGAUAUAGGACUAUCGGCGAAGUCCUGAUGCAGCUAUGCCGGGUGAGUGAUGAAGUCCUUAGGGAUGUACAGCUCGUUUACCCGGGAUGAUAAUGACGGUACCGGGAGAAUAAGCACCGGCUAACUCCGUG